UGGGGAAUUUUGGACAAUGGGCGAAAGCCUGAUCCAGCAAUGCCGCGUGUGUGAAGAAGGCCUUCGGGUUGUAAAGCACUUUUGUCCGGAAAGAAAUCCUUGGCUCUAAUACAGUCGGGGGAUGACGGUACCGGAAGAAUAAGCACCGGCUAACUACGUGCCAGCAGCCGCGGUAAUACGUAGGGUGCAAGCGUUAAUCGGAAUUACUGGGCGUAAAGCGUGCGCAGGCGGUUUGCUAAGACCGAUGUGAAAUCCCCGGGCUCAACCUGGGAACUGCAUUGGUGACUGGCAGGCUAGAGUAUGGCAGAGGGGGGUAGAAUUCCACGUGUAGCAGUGAAAUGCGUAGAGAUGUGGAGGAAUACCGAUGGCGAAGGCAGCCCCCUGGGCCAAUACUGACGCUCAUGCACGAAAGCGUGGGGAGCAAACAGGAUUAGAUACCCUGGUAGUCCAGCGCCCUAAACGAUGUCAACUAGUUGUUGGGGAUUCAUUCUUAGUAACGUAGCUAACGCGUGAAGUUGACCGCCUGGGGAGUACGGUCGCAAGAUUAAAACUCAAAUGAAUUGACGGGGUCAUAGCUGUUUCCU
This 584-nucleotide ribosomal RNA is filed under the name uncultured bacterium. RNAcentral describes it as "partial 16S ribosomal RNA". It matches the Rfam family "Bacterial small subunit ribosomal RNA", at positions 355 to 1375 of the family's 1533-position model. The record is from RNAcentral.